GCUGGGCACAGUGGCGCAUGCCUGUAAUCUUAGUGGCUUGGGAGGCUGAGGCAGGAAGAUUGUGAGUUCAAAGCCAGCCUCAG
RNAcentral lists this small RNA (83 nucleotides) under Marmota monax (woodchuck). Lineage: Eukaryota; Metazoa; Chordata; Mammalia; Rodentia; Sciuridae. The record is from RNAcentral.